RNAcentral lists this transfer RNA (72 nucleotides) under Octopus bimaculoides (California two-spot octopus). RNAcentral's name for it is "transfer RNA cysteine (anticodon GCA)". It matches the Rfam family "tRNA". Rfam says of the family: Transfer RNA (tRNA) molecules are approximately 80 nucleotides in length. Their secondary structure includes four short double-helical elements and three loops (D, anti-codon, and T loops). Lineage: Eukaryota; Metazoa; Mollusca; Cephalopoda; Octopoda; Octopodidae. The record is from RNAcentral.
GGGGAUAUAGCUCAGAGGUAGAGCAUUCGACUGCAGAUCGAGAGGUCCCCGGUUCGAACGCGGGUGUCCCCU